GGAGGUAGUGACAAUAAAUCACAAUGCGGAACUUUUAGUUUUGCAAUUGGAUUGAGAACAAUGUACAAAUGUUAUCGAUAAACAAUUGGAGGGCAAGUCUGGUGCCAGCAGCCGCGGUAAUUCCAGCUCCAAUAGCGUAUAUUAACGUUGUUGCAGUUAAAAAGCUCGUAGUUGAAAUGUGGGAUGAAGUAUAUAAUGAAUUUUUAAUUCAAUUCUAUAUUGAUUCCCCUCUCCAAUUUAUUAUUAUGGGUAUUAAUUUAUUUGUAAUAAGAAUUGGUCAUUUACUGUGAGAAAAUUAGAGUGUUCAAAGCAGGCAUUUGCUUGAAUAGAUUAGCAUGGAAUAAUAAUAAAAGGCUUUUAUGGUCGAUUUAAUUGGUUUGUUCAUAAAAGCAAGAUUAAAAGGAACAGUUGGGGGUAUUCAUAUUCAAUAGUUAGAGGUGAAAUUCUCGGAUUUAUGGAAGAUGAACAAGUGCGAAAGCA
Molecule: ribosomal RNA, 480 nt
Filed under: Blastocystis sp.
Lineage: Eukaryota; Bigyra; Opalinata; Blastocystidae
Description: SSU rRNA
Rfam family: Eukaryotic small subunit ribosomal RNA
Source: RNAcentral